Molecule: long non-coding RNA, 748 nt
Organism: Passer domesticus (house sparrow)
Lineage: Eukaryota; Metazoa; Chordata; Aves; Passeriformes; Passeridae
Exons: 4
Source: RefSeq, a predicted model, not a curated record
CCGGCACACUUCCCUGCUCCAGGCUGGCAGCAAUGGUUUUUCCUGGCUUUCCUUCCACUGGAUCCAGCUAACGAGGGAGCCCACGGGGAAAAUCUCUUCCCUUCCUCUUGGAAGUACCUGCCAAGACCCAGGUUGGGGUCAUCCAGUUAUAUCAGGACUGCCUCUUUCUGCGGCAGAAGUGCAGGUUUCAUGAUAGCAGAAGGGAUCAUUGCCGUUAGUCUGAGCAGCUGGAAAAUCUCCAGAGAAAGGCAGGAAGAAGAGAACGGGACUGAACAACAGCUCUUGCCUGGCUAAUGGAAAGGGAGGCUUGGUUAUUAAGUCACAUGCUACUUUUUAUCAGGCUGUGAGAAGGGAAGCUUAGGAUAUGCUAAUCAAAUAGAAACCAAGUAGUGUGACAGGUUCAGGAAUUUGUCUGAGAAAAAUCUGAUAUGUCUUUGGAGACUUGUGAAAUAUCAUCAGUCCAAAGGAUGUUGUCCUACACAUAAAAAACAAAUGGCUCCUAAGUCUCAUGAAAAGGGCAGAUUUCAGGAAAGCAGAAGUGUUCAGAGCACUGAUUGUUUCAUAAAUGCUCCUAGUGGAAGAGUAUAGGAUGAUGUAAGUCUACUCUAUGCUGUUGCAUUUUUGAUCUUGCCAGGAGGAUAUAAUAAUGUAAGGCAUCCUUGAACCACAUCAGUAUUGCUGUGUCUUGUGGCUUCUUCCCAGAUUCAGGUCAGGAAGAUUUCUGACUGAAGGAGACUGAACCUGGACA